GAUGAACGCUGGCGGCGUGCCUAAUACAUGCAAGUCGAGCGAACGGACGAGACGCUUGCUUUUCUGAUGUUAGCGGCGGACGGGUGAGUAACACGUGGAUAACCUACCUAUAAGACUGGGAUAACUUCGGGAAACCGGAGCUAAUACCGGAUAAUAUUUUGAACCGCAUGGUUCAAAAGUGAAAGACGGUCUUGCUGUCACUUAUAGAUGGAUCCGCGCUGCAUUGGCUAGUUGGUAAGGUAACGGCUUACCAAGGCAACGAUGCAUAGCCGACCUGAGAGGGGGAUAGGCGACAUGGGAACUGAGACAGGGUCCAGACUCCUACGGGAGGCAGCAGUAGGGAAUCUUCCGCAAUGGGCGAAAGCCUGACGGAGCAACGCCGCGUGAGUGAUGAAGGUCUUCGGAUCGUAAAGCUCUGUUAUUAGGGAAGAACAGAUGUGUAAGUAAAUGUGCACAUCUUGACGGUACCUAAUCAGAAAGCCACGGCUAACUACGUG
This 497-nucleotide ribosomal RNA is filed under the name uncultured bacterium. RNAcentral describes it as "partial 16S ribosomal RNA". It matches the Rfam family "Bacterial small subunit ribosomal RNA", at positions 28 to 507 of the family's 1533-position model. The record is from RNAcentral.